This 301-nucleotide ribosomal RNA is filed under the name uncultured bacterium. RNAcentral describes it as "partial 16S ribosomal RNA". It matches the Rfam family "Bacterial small subunit ribosomal RNA", at positions 509 to 807 of the family's 1533-position model. The record is from RNAcentral.
CAGCCGCCGCGGGAAUACGUAGGUGGCAAGCGUUGUCCGGAAUUAUUGGGCGUAAAGGGCUCGCAGGCGGUUUCUUAAGUCUGAUGUGAAAGCCCCCGGCUCAACCGGGGAGGGUCAUUGGAAACUGAGAAACUUGAGUGCAGAAGAGGAGAGUGGAAUUCCACGUGUAGCGGUGAAAUGCGUAGAGAUGUGGAGGAACACCAGUGGCGAAGGCGACUCUCUGGUCUGUAACUGACGCUGAGGAGCGAAAGCGUGGGGAGCAAACAGGAUUAGAUACCCGGGUAGUCCCUGUCUCUUAUAC